Molecule: ribosomal RNA, 494 nt
Filed under: uncultured bacterium
Lineage: Bacteria
Description: partial 16S ribosomal RNA
Rfam family: Bacterial small subunit ribosomal RNA
Source: RNAcentral
GACGAACGCUGGCGGCGUGCCUAAUACAUGCAAGUCGAACGGUUUAGUUCCAAGAGGCUUGCCUUUUGGAACUAGACAGUGGCGGACGGGUGAGUAACACGUAGGCAACCUACCUGUCAAACCGGGAUAACCUCGGGAAACCGAAGCUAAACCCGGAUAAGCUCCUUUUUCGCAUGAAGGGGGAGUGAAAAGGUGCGACCUGAUGACAGAUGGGCCUGCGGCGCAUUAGCUAGUAGGUAGGGUAACGGCCUACCUAGGCGAUGAUGCGUAGCCGACCUGAGAGGGAGUACGGCCACACUGGGACUGAGAUACGGCCAAGACGCCUACGGGAGGCAGCAGUAGGGAAUCUUCGGCAAUGGGCGAAAGCCUGACCGAGCAACGCCGCGUGAGUGAGGAAGGCCUUCGGGUUGUAAAACUCUGUUGUUUGGGAAGAAGGGAAAGGGUAGGACCCUUAGGUGACGGUACCAAACGAGAAAGCCCCGGCUAACUACGUG